RNAcentral lists this ribosomal RNA (696 nucleotides) under Triticum aestivum (bread wheat). RNAcentral describes it as "partial small subunit ribosomal RNA". Lineage: Eukaryota; Viridiplantae; Streptophyta; Magnoliopsida; Poales; Poaceae. The record is from RNAcentral.
CCGAAAACUGAGGGUGGCCUUGGCCUUCUUGAUCUCCACAUCUUUAACCUGGCCAUGUUGGCUAGACAAGGUUGGAGACUACUACAAGGCCCCGAGUCUCUAUGUGGGAGGGUGCUGCGGGCUAAAUAUUUUCCUGACGAGAAGCUUCUGGACCCUAUUCCCGCCCCUGGCAUAUCGUACACUUGGCGCAGCAUCCUAAAAGGGGUGUACUUAUUAAAGGAAGGGAUUAUCUGGAGAGUGGGGGAUGGGACUAACAUCAAGGUGUGGGAAGAUCCUUGGAUCCCCGAGGGCGAUACAAGGAGGCCUAGAUCUCUCCCUGGGUGCUCCCCAAUCACUCUUGUAGCAGAUUUGCUCAAUCCAAACAUUGGUGGCUGGGACAAGGCGUUGGUCCGUGAUCUCUUUCAGGAGGAAGACGCAAAGAUUCUCUCCAUUAGCAUUUGCCAAGGGAUGGAGGAUAAUUUUGCUUGGCACUUUGAUCAGCGUGGCAUCUUCUCUGUCAAGUCUGCUUAUAAGAUUGGUGUUAUGCUGCACGAUAGAAGGCUGGGAAGAGAUGCUCCAAGCUCUAAGGAAAAUUCUGCUAACAGCACUGUCAAAUUUGAUUGGAAGCAUGUCUGGUCCGUGAAGGCCACCAGCAAAGUAAAGAUGUUUGUGUGGCGCCUUGCCCACAAUAGUCUGGCUAACCGCAUGAAAAUUUAA